Molecule: long non-coding RNA, 948 nt
Filed under: Salmo salar (Atlantic salmon)
Lineage: Eukaryota; Metazoa; Chordata; Actinopteri; Salmoniformes; Salmonidae
Description: lncRNA (ENSSSAG00000117635.1, ENSSSAG00000121198.1)
Source: RNAcentral
GUUCAUGCAGGGACCAAUAGGAUACUCGAGAGGGGGCAUUCAUGGCCGAGGGAAGGGGGGGGUAUCUUGUAAACAGAAGUAAAUACAAUGGCUCUCUAGGUGCAGUUGACCACACAUGUAAAGGUAGAUUUAGUAGGUAGCAGUUUAUGCUAGCUACAUUGUCUGUUUAAAUAGCAUUUAUACAAGGCCGAAACAUUGUUUCCUUACCGAAAAAUAUUUAGAAUGCCAGUUUCAGUGAGAAGCAUAGCAACAUCGAGGUAACUUUGUAAUGGGUCACCCCACUUUUGUCACGAUUCUCUAAAGCUGAACCCAGAAGCAGACCAGGACAAGGUGAGUAAAAUGAAGGUGAGUAUUUAUUUACAGUCUCGAGGUGAAAAUAGAAUAAUCCAGGAGACGGAGCGGCAGCGGAGGUGAGUUGAUGAGAGUGAAUAGGCAGAUCCAAUGAAGUCACUGAAACCACCGACGGCCAGGCAAGGCAAGGGAGUUGGAUGUUCCGGGAGGAUGACUGUAGACAGAGUAAACGGGGGGAAUGGAUGUCAGGUUAGAGCUUAUGAAGAGAAGAGGUGAUGAUCAGGACCAGGUGUGCUGAUGAGAUGCAGGUGCGGGUAAUUAAGAGAUCUCCCGCCUAGCUUCGUCGCCUGGCAACCAGACAGGUGCAUGCAUUCAACACGCUUUGGACAAAGGACUUCCACAGGGCCGGCAUCUCCAAAGUUCACUCAAAAAGGCAAUAGUUCUGAACUGGGAUUGAUGAUGUUUUUCUUGUUUUAAUUAUUUAACUGUUUUUCAUUCUCUUUUAAACUUCUAUUAGUUGAAUGCUUGUUGCUUAGUUAUCACAUGGCUCAAGUAAAUUCGGCAGUUGCCUCAUUAAACAUAGUAAGGUUAACAUCCCUAUAGUGUUCACAUUUCUCGCAUGUAAAUGUUGUAAGAAGAUACAAAUAUAUAAUAAAC